UACGUAGGGGGCGAGCGUUGUCCGGAUUCAUUGGGCGUAAAGCGCGCGUAGGCGGCCCCGCAAGUCGGCCGUGAAAUCUCCGGGCUCAACUCGGAGGGGUCGGGCGAGACUGCGAGGCUCGAGGUGGGCAGAGGGCAGUGGAAUUCCGGGUGUAGUGGUGGAAUGCGUAGAGAUCCGGAGGAACACCAGUGGCGAAGGCGGCUGCCUGGGCCUGGCCUGACGCUGAGGCGCGAAAGCGUGGGGAGCGAACAGG
Molecule: ribosomal RNA, 253 nt
Filed under: uncultured bacterium
Lineage: Bacteria
Description: partial 16S ribosomal RNA
Rfam family: Bacterial small subunit ribosomal RNA
Source: RNAcentral